GUGUCAGCCGCCGCGGUAAUACGUAGGGUGCGAGCGUUAAUCGGAAUUACUGGGCGUAAAGCGUGCGCAGGCGGUUGUGUAAGGCAGGUGUGAAAUCCCCGGGCUUAACCUGGGAACUGCACUUGUGACUGCACGGCUUGAGUGCGGCAGAGGGGGAUGGAAUUCCGCGUGUAGCAGUGAAUGCGUAGAUAUGCGGAGGAACACCGAUGGCGAGGGCAAUCCCCUGGGCCUGCACUGACGCUCAUGCACGAAAGCGUGGGGAGCAAACAGGAUUAGAUACCCGUGUAGUCC
Molecule: ribosomal RNA, 291 nt
Filed under: uncultured Comamonadaceae bacterium
Lineage: Bacteria; Pseudomonadati; Pseudomonadota; Betaproteobacteria; Burkholderiales; Comamonadaceae
Description: partial 16S ribosomal RNA
Rfam family: Bacterial small subunit ribosomal RNA
Source: RNAcentral